CCUACGGGAGGCAGCAGUAGGGAAUCUUCCGCAAUGGACGAAAGUCUGACGGAGCAACGCCGCGUGAACGAUGAAGGCCUUCGGGUCGUAAAGUUCUGUUGUUAGGGAAGAACAAGUGUUAGUUGAAUAAGCUGGCACCUUGACGGUACCUAACCAGAAAGCCACGGCUAACUACGUGCCAGCAGCCGCGGUAAUACGUAGGUGGCAAGCGUUGUCCGGAAUUAUUGGGCGUAAAGCGCGCGCAGGCGGUUUCUUAAGUCUGAUGUGAAAGCCCCCGGCUCAACCGGGGAGGGUCGUUGGAAACUGGGAAACUUGAGUGCAGAAGAGGAAAGUGGAAUUCCAAGUGUAGCGGUGAAAUGCGUAGAGAUUUGGAGGAACACCAGUGGCGAAGGCGACUUUCUGGUCUGUAACUGACGCUGAGGCGCGAAAGCGUGGGGAGCAAACAGGAUUAGAUACCCUGGUAGUCCACGCUGUAAACGAUGAGUGCUAAGUGUUAGAGGGUUUCCGCCCUUUAGUGCUGAGUUAACGCAUUAAGCACUCGCGUGGAGUACGUCGCAGACUGAACUACAAGAGUAGUAGACGNGNGAGAGCGACGACGACGACGACGGAGGAGGAG
RNAcentral lists this ribosomal RNA (616 nucleotides) under uncultured bacterium. RNAcentral's name for it is "bacterial SSU rRNA". The stretch from base 1 to 543 matches the Rfam family "Bacterial small subunit ribosomal RNA", at positions 338 to 873 of the family's 1533-position model. The record is from RNAcentral.